AGAGUUUGAUCAUGGCUCAGAGCGAACGCUGGCGGCGUGCUUAACACAUGCAAGUCGAGUGCGCGGUUGUAGCAAUACAACUGGCGCACGGCGCACGGGUGCGUAACACGUGGGUACCUGCCCUUUGAUGGGGAAUAACCCCGCGAAAGCGGGGCUAAUUCCGCAUAAGAUCCGCAAGGAUGAAAGCCGUAAGGCGUCGAAGGAGGGGCCUGCGCACGAUUAGCUAGUUGGUAGGGUAACGGCCUACCAAGGCUAUGAUCGUUAGCUGGUCUGAGAGGAUGGCCAGCCACACUGGAACUGAGACACGGUCCAGACUCCUACGGGAGGCAGCAGUGGGGAAUCUUGCACAAUGGGCGAAAGCCUGAUGCAGCGACGCCGCGUGGGGGAUGAAGCUUCUCGGAGUGUAAACCCCUUUCGACCCGGACGAAUACCUCGCAAGAGGGGUGACGGUACGGGUAUAAGAAGCCCCGGCUAACUACGUGCCAGCAGCCGCGGUAAGACGUGGGGGGCCAGCGUUGCUCGGAAUUACUGGGUGUAAAGGGUCAGUAGGCGGUGUGGCAAGUCGGUAGUGAAAUCUCUGGGCUUAACUCAGAGGCUGCUUCCGAAACUGCUGUGCUUGAGUGUGGGAGAGGCGCGUGGAAUUGCAGGUGUAGCGGUGAAAUGCGUAGAUAUCUGCAGGAACACCCGUGGCGAAAGCGGCGCGCUGGACCACAACUGGCGCUGAAUGACGAAAGCUAGGGGAGCAAACAGGAUUAGAUACCCUGGUAGUCCUAGCCCUAAACGAUCAGGACUUGGGGUGCCACCCGUUCGGGUGUCGUCCCGGAGCUAACGCGUUAAGUCCUGCACCUGGGGAGUACGGUCGCAAGACUGAAACUCAAAGGAAUUGACGGGGGCCCGCACAAGCGGUGGAACAUGUGGUUCAAUUCGACGCUACGCGAGGAACCUUACCUGGGCUCGAAGCGCACUUGACAAGCUAUAGAAAUAUGGCCUUCCCGCAA
Molecule: ribosomal RNA, 998 nt
Filed under: uncultured bacterium
Lineage: Bacteria
Description: bacterial SSU rRNA
Rfam family: Bacterial small subunit ribosomal RNA
Source: RNAcentral